GGGCGGAUGGUUUAGUGGUAUAAUACUUCUUUAGGGUAGGAGUGGUCCCGGGUUCGAUUCCCGGUUCGCCCC
Molecule: transfer RNA, 72 nt
Organism: Lodderomyces elongisporus NRRL YB-4239
Lineage: Eukaryota; Fungi; Ascomycota; Pichiomycetes; Serinales; Debaryomycetaceae
Rfam family: tRNA
About the family: Transfer RNA (tRNA) molecules are approximately 80 nucleotides in length. Their secondary structure includes four short double-helical elements and three loops (D, anti-codon, and T loops).
Source: Rfam